RNAcentral lists this transfer RNA (76 nucleotides) under Burkholderia pseudomallei. Its description in RNAcentral is "tRNA-Met(cat)". It matches the Rfam family "tRNA". From Rfam's summary of the family: Transfer RNA (tRNA) molecules are approximately 80 nucleotides in length. Their secondary structure includes four short double-helical elements and three loops (D, anti-codon, and T loops). The record is from RNAcentral. Lineage: Bacteria; Pseudomonadati; Pseudomonadota; Betaproteobacteria; Burkholderiales; Burkholderiaceae. RNAcentral also lists the same sequence under 2 other names.
UGCGGGUGUAAGCCACCGGUAGACAGCGAGGCUCAUAACCUCGCAGCACGCGGUUCGAUUCCGCGCCCCGCAACCA